This is a long non-coding RNA of Hemiscyllium ocellatum (epaulette shark), 311 nucleotides long. RefSeq lists it as uncharacterized. The record is from RefSeq and is a predicted model, not a curated record. Lineage: Eukaryota; Metazoa; Chordata; Chondrichthyes; Orectolobiformes; Hemiscylliidae. The transcript has 3 exons.
UGAAGACUGCCCGUAUGGGGCCUAUUGUACUCUUCCAAUCCCCGGAAUGUCCUGCUUUCCGUGGCCGCUCUCACCUCAUCUCCGGCGCGUUGAUCAUUUUCCUCAUGUCGGCGGCGAAGGAGCCAAAGCUUCCCCGCAGAUAAGCGGAGUGGAAAGGGUUAGACAUGGUUCUGAACCACGGCGGGUCACAGGAGGAACUAACUGGGGGCGCCUUUAGUCUGAGAAGAAAACCAGCAUUCAAUGACUCUGAGGACAACAACUUCUACCUCUGACAAAGAGUCAUUUUUAAAGGCUUAAAGGGAGCUGAUAAC